RNAcentral lists this ribosomal RNA (494 nucleotides) under uncultured bacterium. RNAcentral's name for it is "partial 16S ribosomal RNA". It matches the Rfam family "Bacterial small subunit ribosomal RNA", at positions 28 to 507 of the family's 1533-position model. The record is from RNAcentral.
GACGAACGCUGGCGGCGUGCUUAACACGUGCAAGUCGAACGGUGAAGCGCCUUCCUUUUUGGUGGGUGUGGAUGAGUGGCGAACGGGUGAGUAACACGUGAGUAACCUGCCCCCUUCUUCUGGAUAACCGCAUGAAAGUGUGGCUAAUACGGGAUAUUCUGGGUCUGUCGCAUGAUGGGUCUGGGAAAGAUAUUGUUUCGGUGGGGGAUGGGCUCGCGGCCUAUCAGCUUGUUGGUGGGGUGAUGGCCUACCAAGGCGGUGACGGGUAGCCGGCCUGAGAGGGUGGACGGUCACACUGGGACUGAGACACGGCCCAGACUCCUACGGGAGGCAGCAGUGGGGAAUAUUGCACAAUGGGCGCAAGCCUGAUGCAGCGACGCCGCGUGAGGGAUGGAGGCCUUCGGGUUGUGAACCUCUUUCGCCAGUGAAGCAGGCCUGCCUCGUUUGUGGGUGGGUUGACGGUAGCUGGAUAAGAAGCGCCGGCUAACUACGUG